RNAcentral lists this unclassified non-coding RNA (908 nucleotides) under Hevea brasiliensis (rubber tree). The record is from RNAcentral. Lineage: Eukaryota; Viridiplantae; Streptophyta; Magnoliopsida; Malpighiales; Euphorbiaceae.
UAUUUAGUAUUCCUAAUUAGAGUUUAUUAGAGUUUCUAUUUCUAAAUUAAUUAGAGUUGUAAGCUCUAUAAAAGAGAGUUCAUUUUUUAUUAUUCAAUAGCUUUACACUAUGCUUAUUAUUGAGAUCAAUAAAAUCGUUGAAAAUUAGUUCUCUUCUUUUCAAGGAUUAGUCCUUGAUCUGUUUUUUGUUCUUUAUUUAUUCCACAUCAAUUUUGGCAUCAGAGCCUAAAUUCAAUCUAAAUUUCCAUAAGCUUCCGCAAACUUUAGACCUUGUCUUGUGCCCUUGAAAUUUUCCUCUACUUUUCAUCCAAAAUUUUCUACCUUUAGUUUACUAUUUAAAAAAAGAGAAGGAAACAAAGUCACGAGAAAUAGAAAACCCAUCACUGACAGCACCAUUCUCAAAUAUCGACCAUCGUCUGGCUACCAGGCAGCACCGCCACCACUGGCACAGCACUCACCUGCACCAGGCAACCCUUCUGACACUGUUCCAAUCACCUGCAACUUCCCAGAAAGAAGAUCUGACCGGGUCAGAUCUUAACCCGAAUCCAGACCCGCAAAUUUUCCAGAUUUUUCCAGCAUAUAAUCAAUCCAGCAGCUCUCUGGUCUCCAAUCUGCCCGUUCCCACAGUCGGUAACCCAUUCCAACGCCUCCAGCUUUAAAAACCGACGUCGGAUUAGAUCCACCCAAAACCAAGUUGUGCUCACCAAGUCUUCCUGUGCUCUAAUUUGCAUUAGAUUUCUGCUGCAUCAACAAUUGCCACGUUAGCUCUCUUUGGCCACAUCAUUGCCACAUCAUCACCCUUGCCAGUCAACAAUUUUCAAUAGUACCCUACUUUGCUAAUUUGACAUCUUGCAUCUAAAUUUGUAGCUCGUUUUCUGCAGAAACAACUCUUAAAAGCUGAAUUUUGA